GGAGACUGGGGGCCAUGGUGGGGUCAAAGUAGCACAUUUAAUAAAUAAUUAUUCUAAACAAAAACCUUGUUUCUAUUGAACCUGCCAUACUAAUAAAGGCAUUUUAAUCAAUUAUAUGAAGAGUGUCUUGGUCCUCCUUUCUAUUUGAUGACCUACUCACCCCUUUACCAAAGAGCACCUUCUGUCUACCAACAUUUACUAUUGUGUACCUUAGUAGCGCUUCCCUUCCUCCUCUUUCUACUAAACCACAAAGGGGUUAGAACUACAAUUCCGGCGCCAUUUCCGGUUGCCGUCGCUGGACGCGAUGCAACGUGAAACAGGGAGUUGUAGUUCUUCACAGAAAGCCCAGGUGUAUUCAAACCAUUACAGUUUUACAUUUACAUUUUAGUCAUUUAGCAGACGCUCUUAUCCAGAGCGACUUACAGUAGUGAAUGCAUACAUUUCAUACAUUUUUAUUUUCCCGUACUGGGAAAAUAAUGACACACAGUUCCUCAGCACUGGAACAUUUUGGAAUCACAGUCAUGAAACCCCCCUUAAACAUAUGACACAAUGUUCUCACUACAACUGAGGACUCUUACAGUGGUGGACUUUAUGUUAAUAAAUAGGUCUCAAAUCAAAUCAAAGUUUAUUUGUCACGUGCGCCGAAUGCAACAGACCUUACAGUGAAAUGCUUCCUUACAGGCUUUAACCAAUAGUGCGAAAAAAAGGUAUGUGUGUGUGUGUGUGUGUGUGUGUGUGUGUGUGUGUGUGUAAGUAAAGAAAUAAAACAACAAUAAAAAUACAUUUGAAAAUAAGAGUAGCAAGGCUAUAUAAAGACAUCGGUUAGUCAGGCUUAAGAGUUGUGAACUACAAAUAUGGCGUCUUUUUGUAGUUUUCUUCCUAACUCUAACCCUAGCUCAGUUGAUCUGCUUUAUCAAUGGUGCAACAUUCAACCCCUCCAAAAUGCCUUAAUUCAUCUGAUGCAUCCCUCACGCAGAUCCACUGACGUCCGAAUCACUAUUUCAAUUUGUCUACAGACUCAAUAGUAUUUGCAUUUCAAAAUGCAAUAUUCUCAUUCAUUUUGAUAAUUCUUUCUCAUUAAGGGACAUUCACUAAGAGGAUUUGUUCAGACCAAUGGGCUGCUCUAACA
Molecule: long non-coding RNA, 1129 nt
Filed under: Salmo salar (Atlantic salmon)
Lineage: Eukaryota; Metazoa; Chordata; Actinopteri; Salmoniformes; Salmonidae
Description: lncRNA (ENSSSAG00000093768.1)
Source: RNAcentral